UUUUAGAAACCGCGUUCCACUUACCUCGCCGACCACAAACCGACCAUACCCUCAACCGACUUAAAUCUCCUAUUUAAUGUACAGAACAUCUCCACAUUGUUUCUCGUCCUUUCCUUUUUUUUUUGGGUCGUUCUCUGGUAGCUUUCGAUUUGAGGCCAGCUCUGUGUUCUUUUUUCGUUUCGUCGUGCGAUUUCGAUCUCGAUCAUGUAUCCACUAAUUAUUCUGGAAUUAUUGAUCCAUGAUAUGUUAGGGCGAUUUGGAUGAUACGUUAGGGGGAUUUGGAUCUCGAUCUUGAAUAAUUUUAGGGCACUGAUCGUUGUUGAGGUUUUGCCUAUGAUUUGCCAGCGCUGACCUUAUCUUCUUCUUGUUUUGAUUCAUCUCGUGUUAUUUGGAUCUUUAAUAUAUGUAAGGUACUGAUUAUUAUGGAGUUAGGACUCUAGUUUUGCUUACGCUGACCUUAUAUUCUUUUUACUUAUUUUGAUUUGUCUUGUGCAGUUUGGAUCUGGAUGCCGAAUGUAUGUUGGAUAUCUAUGUUAGAUUGUUGUUCAUCGAAUUAACCGAUCCUUUUCGUUAAUAUUUUACCAUAAAUUGGCUUAGUAUUUUACCAUAAAUUGGUUAACUUGAUCGUUGAUUAUUGGAUAAACAUGUGUUCUAAUGCUAACUUCACAAUCUUUCUACUUAUUUUGUUUGUUCUUGUGCAAUUUGGAUCUCUAUUUUAGAUCAAUUUCAUCUAUUUUUCUAUUUUUCUUUUUUUUUGGGUGCCUGGCAUGUUAAAUAUAAAUGUGCUAACAUUCUUAUAACCAUUCUA
This is a long non-coding RNA of Asparagus officinalis (garden asparagus), 808 nucleotides long. RefSeq lists it as uncharacterized. The record is from RefSeq and is a predicted model, not a curated record. NCBI's taxonomy places the organism in Eukaryota, Viridiplantae, Streptophyta, Magnoliopsida, Asparagales, Asparagaceae. The transcript is spliced from 2 exons.